UGCGUAGGCGGCUUGGUAAGUCAGAUGUGAAAUCCUGGGGCUCAACCUCGGAACUGCAUUUGAUACUGCCAGGCUAGAGUACUGGAGAGGAGACUGGAAUUCACGGUGUAGCAGUGAAAUGCGUAGAUAUUCGGAAGAACACCGGUGGCGAAGGCGGCUUACUGGCCCAUUACUGACGCUGAGGCUCGAAGCGUGGGGAGCAAACA
This 206-nucleotide ribosomal RNA is filed under the name uncultured bacterium. RNAcentral describes it as "partial 16S ribosomal RNA". It matches the Rfam family "Bacterial small subunit ribosomal RNA", at positions 568 to 774 of the family's 1533-position model. The record is from RNAcentral.